Cinara cedri is the source of this 368-nucleotide non-coding RNA. The record is from the annotation of a GenBank genome assembly. Lineage: Eukaryota; Metazoa; Arthropoda; Insecta; Hemiptera; Aphididae.
UCAUAAAUCGUUGGGAAAUUUCUAUCGCUGUAAAAUGUUGAAGAAAUGAAAUUAAGAAAACUACUUUGGAUACUGAAAAAUGACUUACUGUGACAGUGGCAAAAUAUUAAAAGAAACAAAAUCGAUCUCUAGUGAAUUUCGUAUUGGAACAAAACAUCAUGUAAACAUAUCAAAAAACAAGGAAAACCUAUAAUUUUCCUUCGGGUUUUCCCAAUUAUUUCGAAAACCCCUUGGAAAGUUAAAAAAUGACAUCCUAAAUGCAUUAACUAAAGAAAAUUACCUUUCAGUAAAGGUGCUAUAUUCUAUACUUUGGAGUGCAAGUUUUCUGGUAGAAAAGUUGUUCACAGCAAACAAAUAAAAAAAAAAAA